ACGGGAGGCAGCAGUGGGGAAUAUUGGACAAUGGGGGAAACCCUGAUCCAGCGACGCCGCGUGAGUGAAGAAGUAUUUCGGUAUGUAAAGCUCUAUCAGCAAGGAAGAAAAUGACGGUACUUGACUAAGAAGCCCCGGCUAACUACGUGCCAGCAGCCGCGGUAAUACGUAGGGGGCAAGCGUUAUCCGGAUUUACUGGGUGUAAAGGGAGCGUAGACGGCAUAGCAAGUCUGAAGUGAAAUGCAUGGGCUCAACCCAUGAGCUGCUUUGGAAACUGUUAAGCUAGAGUGCAGGAGAGGUAAGUGGAAUUCCUAGUGUAGCGGUGAAAUGCGUAGAUAUUAGGAGGAACACCAGUGGCGAAGGCGGCUUACUGGACUGUAACUGACGUUGAGGCUCGAAAGCGUGGGGAGCGAACAGGAUUAGAUACCCUGGUA
This 434-nucleotide ribosomal RNA is filed under the name uncultured Lachnospiraceae bacterium. RNAcentral's name for it is "partial 16S ribosomal RNA". It matches the Rfam family "Bacterial small subunit ribosomal RNA", at positions 341 to 792 of the family's 1533-position model. The record is from RNAcentral. Lineage: Bacteria; Bacillati; Bacillota; Clostridia; Lachnospirales; Lachnospiraceae.